UACGUAGGUCCCAAGCGUUGUCCGGAUUCACUGGGUAUAAAGGGUGCGCAGGCGGUCUUGUGCGUCAGAGGUGAAAUAUCCGGGCUUAACCCGGAGGGUGCCUUUGAUACGGCAGGACUUGAGUACGAGAGAGGAUGAUGGAAUUCCUGGUGUAGCGGUGAAAUGCGUAGAUAUCAGGAGGAACACCGGUGGCGAAGGCGGUCAUCUGG
This 209-nucleotide ribosomal RNA is filed under the name uncultured prokaryote. RNAcentral's name for it is "partial 16S ribosomal RNA". It matches the Rfam family "Bacterial small subunit ribosomal RNA", at positions 524 to 732 of the family's 1533-position model. The record is from RNAcentral.